GCAAGUCGAGCGGAAGGCCACUUCGGUGGUACUCGAGCGGCGAACGGGUGAGUAACACGUGAGUAAUCUGCCCCUGGCUUUGGGAUAGCCACCGGAAACGGUGAUUAAUACCGGAUAUGACCACUUCACGCAUGUGAUGGUGGUGGAAAGUUUUUCGGCCAGGGAUGUGCUCGCGGCCUAUCAGCUUGAUGGUGAGGUAAUGGCUCACCAUGGCUUCGACGGGUAGCCGGCCUGAGAGGGUGACCGGUCACACUGGGACUGAGACACGGCCCAGACUCCUACGGGAGGCAGCAGUGGGGAAUAUUGGACAAUGGGCGGAAGCCUGAUCCAGCAACGCCGCGUGAGGGAUGACGGCCUUCGGGUUGUAAACCUCUUUCGGUGGGGACGAAGCGCAAGUGACGGUACCCACUAAAGAAGCACCGGCCAACUACGUGCCAGCAGCCGCGGUAAUACGUAGGGUGCGAGCGUUGUCCGGAAUUAUUGGGCGUAAAGGGCUCGUAGGCGGUUUGUCGCGUCGGGAGUGAAAACGCCGUGCUUAACACGGCGCUUGCUUCCGAUACGGGCAGACUAGAGGUAUUCAGGGGAGAACGGAAUUCCUGGUGUAGCGGUGAAAUGCGCAGAUAUCAGGAGGAACACCGGUGGCGAAGGCGGUUCUCUGGGAAUGACCUGACGCUGAGGAGCGAAAGUGUGGGGAGCGAACAGGAUUAGAUACCCUGGUAGUCCACACCGUAAACGUUGGGCGCUAGGUGUGGGGU
This 755-nucleotide ribosomal RNA is filed under the name Nocardioides ganghwensis. Its description in RNAcentral is "bacterial SSU rRNA". It matches the Rfam family "Bacterial small subunit ribosomal RNA", at positions 57 to 828 of the family's 1533-position model. The record is from RNAcentral. Lineage: Bacteria; Bacillati; Actinomycetota; Actinomycetes; Propionibacteriales; Nocardioidaceae.